UACAGAGGUCCCAAGCGUUGUUCGGAUUCACUGGGCGUAAAGGGUGCGUAGGCGGUCAGGUAAGUCUGAUGUGAAAUCCCGCAGCUUAACUGCGGAACUGCAUCGGAUACUAUCUGGCUUGAGGAAUGGAGGGGAGACUGGAAUUCUCGGUGUAGCAGUGAAAUGCGUAGAUAUCGAGAGGAACACCAGUGGCGAAGGCGAGUCUCUGGACAUUUCCUGACGCUGAGGCACGAAAGCCAGGGGAGCAAACGGG
This 253-nucleotide ribosomal RNA is filed under the name uncultured bacterium. Its description in RNAcentral is "partial 16S ribosomal RNA". It matches the Rfam family "Bacterial small subunit ribosomal RNA", at positions 524 to 776 of the family's 1533-position model. The record is from RNAcentral.